This 86-nucleotide transfer RNA is filed under the name Candidatus Wallbacteria bacterium. RNAcentral describes it as "tRNA-Leu". It matches the Rfam family "tRNA". From Rfam's summary of the family: Transfer RNA (tRNA) molecules are approximately 80 nucleotides in length. Their secondary structure includes four short double-helical elements and three loops (D, anti-codon, and T loops). Further hydrogen bonds mediate the characteristic L-shaped molecular structure. tRNAs have two regions of fundamental functional importance: the anti-codon, which is responsible for specific mRNA codon recognition, and the 3' end, to which the tRNAs corresponding amino acid is attached (by aminoacyl-tRNA synthetases). tRNAs cope with the degeneracy of the genetic code in two manners: having more than one tRNA (with a specific anti-codon) for a particular amino acid; and 'wobble' base-pairing, i.e. permitting non-standard base-pairing at the 3rd anti-codon position. Lineage: Bacteria; Candidatus Walliibacteriota. The record is from RNAcentral.
GCCGGAGUGGCGGAAUGGUAUACGCAGCGGACUCAAAAUCCGCCGAGGGUAACCUCAUAGGGGUUCGAGUCCCCUCUCCGGCACCA